RNAcentral lists this ribosomal RNA (253 nucleotides) under uncultured bacterium. Its description in RNAcentral is "partial 16S ribosomal RNA". It matches the Rfam family "Bacterial small subunit ribosomal RNA", at positions 524 to 776 of the family's 1533-position model. The record is from RNAcentral.
UACGGAGGGAGCUAGCGUUGUUCGGAUAUACUGGGCGUAAAGCGCACGUAGGCGGCGCAGCAAGUCGGGGGUGAAAUCCUGGAGCUCAACUCCAGAACUGCCUUCGAUACUGGAAAGCUCGAGUCCGGGAGAGGUGAGUGGAACUGCGAGUGUAGAGGUGAAAUUCGUAGAUAUUCGCAAGAACACCAGUGGCGAAGGCGGCUCACUGGCCCGGUACUGACGCUGAGGUGCGAAAGCGUGGGGAGCAAACAGG